UAAGGAGGAGGCACGCGUUAUACGGAAUUAUUGGGCGUAAAGCGUCCGUAGGUGGUUGGCCAAGUCUGCUGUCAAAGGGUGGGGCUUAACCUCAUAAAGGCAGUGGAAACUGGCGAGCUAGAGAGCGGUAGGGGUAGGGGGAAUUCCCAGUGUAGCGGUGAAAUGCGUAGAGAUUGGGAAGAACAUCGGUGGCGAAAGCGCCCUGCUGGGCCUGCACUGACACUGAGGGACGAAAGCUAGGUGAGCGAAAGGG
This 253-nucleotide ribosomal RNA is filed under the name uncultured bacterium. RNAcentral describes it as "partial 16S ribosomal RNA". It matches the Rfam family "Bacterial small subunit ribosomal RNA", at positions 524 to 776 of the family's 1533-position model. The record is from RNAcentral.